This 487-nucleotide ribosomal RNA is filed under the name uncultured bacterium. Its description in RNAcentral is "bacterial SSU rRNA". It matches the Rfam family "Bacterial small subunit ribosomal RNA", at positions 28 to 507 of the family's 1533-position model. The record is from RNAcentral.
GGUGAACGCUAGCGGCAGGCCUAACACAUGCAAGUCGAGGGGUAACAUAGGAAAGCUUGCUUUUCUGAUGACGACCGGCGCACGGGUGCGUAACGCGUAUACAACCUACCUUUUAGCGGGGAAUAGCCCAGGGAAACUUGGAUUAAUGCCCCAUAGUAUAUAGACUUCUCCUGAAGUUUAUAUUAAACAUUUAUGGCUAUUAGAUGGGUAUGCGUCCUAUUAGUUAGUUGGUAAGGUAACGGCUUACCAAGGCAGCGAUAGGUAGGGGUCCUGAGAGGGAGAUCCCCACACUGGUACUGAGACACGGACCAGACUCCUACGGGAGGCAGCAGUGAGGAAUAUUGGACAAUGGGCGAGAGCCUGAUCCAGCCAUGCCGCGUGCAGGAAGACUGCCCUAUGGGUUGUAAACUGCUUUUACAGAGGAAGAACCACCCCCACGUGUGGGGGUUUGACGGUACUCUGCGAAUAAGGAUCGGCUAACUCCGUG